AAUAAAUUGCCCGAUUUUAAGGAGUAUUUUGAUAAAAUAUAUAUACUCUAAAAGUAUUUAUUA
RNAcentral lists this transfer RNA (63 nucleotides) under Endeis sp. JZ-2022. Its description in RNAcentral is "tRNA-Ile". The record is from RNAcentral. Lineage: Eukaryota; Metazoa; Arthropoda; Pycnogonida; Pantopoda; Endeidae.